RNAcentral lists this ribosomal RNA (595 nucleotides) under Psora indigirkae. Its description in RNAcentral is "eukaryotic LSU rRNA". The stretch from base 235 to 388 matches the Rfam family "5.8S ribosomal RNA". Lineage: Eukaryota; Fungi; Ascomycota; Lecanoromycetes; Lecanorales; Psoraceae. The record is from RNAcentral.
AAGUCGUAACAAGGUUUCCGUAGGUGAACCUGCGGAAGGAUCAUUACAGAGAGGGACCUCGGAUCCCAGGGGGCUUCGUCCCCCGUCUCUACACCCGUGGACAUCUACUAUUUCCGUUGCUUUGGCGGGUUUCGGGGGGUAAUCCCCCCCGCCAGUACGCUGGAGAGCGCCCGUCAACCGCCCCCUAAAAUUCGUGUUUUCCCGUCCCGUCCGAGUAAUUGCGAAUCCAAACAAAACUUUCAACAACGGAUCUCUUGGUUCUGGCAUCGAUGAAGAACGCAGCGAAAUGCGAUAAGUAAUGUGAAUUGCAGAAUUCAGUGAAUCAUCGAAUCUUUGAACGCACAUUGCGCCCCUCGGUACCCCGGGGGGCAUGCCUGUUCGAGCGUCAUUGCACCCCUCAAGCGUAGCUUGGUCCUGGGUUUCGCCCCCGGGCGUACCCCAAAAGCAGUAGCGGUCCGGAGUGACCUUUGAGCGCAGUAAUCAUCUUGUCCGCUUUGAAAUCUCGCUCCGUGUCCUGCUUAGGAGAUAUUCGAUUCAAUGAUUGACCUCGGAUCAGGUAGGGAUACCCGCUGAACUUAAGCAUAUCAAUAAGCGG